AACGCACAUUGCGCCCGCUAGUAUUCUGGCGGGCAUGCCUGUUCGAGCGUCAUUACAAACCCUCAAGCACUUGCUUGGUGUUGGGUGCCUAUUAUUACCAUAGGCCCUAAAAAUCAGUGGCGGGCUCGCUGAUACCCCGAGCGUAGUAGAAAAGCCUCGCUCAGGGCGUACUGGCGGGUUCUAGCCGUUAAGCACCCCCUAUAAAAAGGUUGACCUCGGAUCAGGUAGGAAUACCCGCUGAACUUAA
RNAcentral lists this unclassified non-coding RNA (247 nucleotides) under uncultured fungus. RNAcentral describes it as "sequence contains ITS2". The record is from RNAcentral. Lineage: Eukaryota; Fungi.